Molecule: ribosomal RNA, 3300 nt
Filed under: Durio zibethinus
Lineage: Eukaryota; Viridiplantae; Streptophyta; Magnoliopsida; Malvales; Malvaceae
Description: eukaryotic LSU rRNA
Rfam family: Eukaryotic large subunit ribosomal RNA
Source: RNAcentral
AUGACUCCAUGUAAAGCAUGAUUACCCAUUGAGUUUAAGCAUACCAAUAAGUAAAGGAAAAGAAACUUACUAAGAUUCCCCUAGUAAUGGCAAUUGAACCAAUAAUAACCUAGCUUAAGAAUUAGGUGCCAUUGAUGUCUAAAUUAUAGUCUAGAGAAGCAUCUUUAGCAACGGACUGAGCCUAAGUCCCCUAGAAAGGGGUGCCAAAGAGGGUGAGAGCCCUAUUGUGCUUGGACCCUAUCACACAUAAGGCAUUGUUUGUGAGUCGAGUUGUUUGGGAAUACAACCUCAGUCGGUUGGUAAAUUCUAUCUAAGGCUGAAUACGGGUGAGAGACUUAUAGCAAAUAAGUACCACAAGGAAAAGGUGAAAAGAACUUUGAAAAGAAAUUCAAAGAGUGCUUGAAAUUGUUAGGAGGGAAGCAGAUGGGGGCCAGUGAUAUGCAUUGGUCAGAUGUGGAAUGGUGAGAGCCAGUCCACCAACUAGUUUAGGGCAUGGACUGAUGUGGGUCGUGGCAGUGACCUAAGCUUAAACUUUUAAUAUGCCAAUGGAGAUGUCAUCACCAUGAUUAUGGAAUGUAGCACAUGCCAUCUUAUUAUGCCUUAGUGUUAAUCUCAUCAUGCCUUAGCAUCGACAUGCUUUUAGCACUAGCGUGCUUUUGAUGUCUGCCUGUAAGCUUACCACUCGACCUAUCUUGAAACAUGGACCAAGGAGUGUAACAUGCGUACGAGUCAAUGGGCUAGAAAACACCAUAAAGUGCAAGUUGAUUGGUGGGAUCCAUCAUGGGUGCACCGUUGAUCAACUUUGGUCUUUUGAGAAGGGUUUGAGUGUGAAAUGCUUGUUAGGACUCAAAAGAUGUGAACUAUGCCUGAGCAGGGUAAGGCCAGAGAAAAUUUUGAUGGAGACCCAUAGUGAUACUGGCAUGUAAAUCAUUUAUUUGACUGGGGUAUAAGGGUAAAAGACUAAUCGAACUAUUUAUCAGUAGGUUCCCACCUAAGUUUUCCUUAGGAUAGCUGAGCCUUUAGCAAGUUUUAUCAGGUAAAGCCAAUGAUUAGAGGCAUUGGGGGUGCAAUGCCCUCAACCUAUUCUCAAACUUUAAAUAGGUAGGAUGGUGUGACUACUUUAUUCAGCCAUGCCAUAGAAUCAAAAGCUCAAAGUGGGCCAUUUUUGGUAAGCAAAACUAGCAAUGUGGGAUGAGCUGGAAACCAAGUUACCUUGCCCAAUUACAUGUUAACCUAGAACCCACAAAAGGAGUUGGUCGAUUAAAACAAUAGGAUAGUGGUCACGAAAAUUGAAAUCUGUUAAGGAGUGUGUAACAACUCACCUACGAAAUCAACUAGCCCCAAAAAUAGAUGACGCUUAAGAGCGUAACCUAUACCCAGCAUUAGGGUAAGGUCAGGCUGGAUGAGCAGGGGCAUAGUAGUCACCAUAAAAUCUGGGCACAAGCUCAAGUGGAGCAACCAUCAAUGUAGAUCUUGCUGGUAGUAACAAAUAUUUAAUUGAGAAAUUUAAAGGUUAAAGAAUGCAAAGUUUCCAUUUGAACGGCACUUACACGAAGGUUAGUCAAUCCUAAGUGAUAGGGGAGCUAGUUUGAUAGUGUCUCUAGUGCAAGCUUCAAAAGGGAAUUAGGUUAAAAUUCUUAAACUGAGAAACAAUGGCAAAUGGCAACAUUAAGGAGUCUAGAGACAUCAGCAGAGGCCUCGAUAAGAGUUAUCUAUUCUAUUUAAUGGCCUACAUGCCCUGGAAAAGGUUCAGUAGAAGGUAGGGUCCAAUAGCUCGAAGAGCACCACACAUCACGUGGUGUUUGAUUUAUCUCUUAUGGCCCUUGAAAAUCUAGAAGAUUGAGUGCCAUCUAAGCCUAGUCAUACUCAUAACUGCAUCAAGUCUUUAAGGUGAACAACCUUUAGUUAGCAGAAUAAUGUAGGCAAGGGAAAUUGGCAAAAUUGAUCUGUAACUUUCAAAAAAAGAUUAACUCUGAAGGCUGGGCAUGGGGGUCCUAAUCCCAAACCCAUCGGUUGUCGAUGCAUUGCUCAAGCUAAUCUCAUGAUGAGAAUAGGUCACCAUGUACUAACCAAGGAACAAACUUGGAAUGGCUCCUUAAUGGGCCCUUCUCAAGCAAUGAACAAUUAACACAAAACUGGUAUGGACAAGGGGAAUCCGAUUAUUUAAUUCAAACAAAGCAUUAUGAUGGUUCCUAUAGAUGCUCACAUAAUGUGAUUUUUCCCAGUGCUUUGAAUGUCAAGGUGAAAAAAUUCAACCAAGCAUGGGUAAAUAGUGAGAGUAACUAUUGCUCUCUUAAGAUAGCCAAAUGCCUCACAAUCUAAUUAGUGAUGCACAUGAAUGGAUUAACGAGAUUCCCAUUAUCCCUAUCUACUAUCUAGCAAAACCACAGCCAUGGGAAUGAGCUUGGUAAAAUCAAUAGGGAAAGAAGACCAUAUUGAGCUUGACUAUAGUCCAACUUUGUGAAAUGACUUGUGAGGUGUCAGAUAAGUGGGAGCCUUCGAUAAAAUUGAAAAUACCACUACUUUUUAAUGUUAUUUUACUUAUUCCAUAAAUUAGAGGUAGGGCACAACCCCUUCUUUUAGACCCAAGGCUAACCUUGGUUGAUUGAUCUGAGUGGAAAACAUUAUCAGGUGUGAAGUUUGGCUAGGGUAGCACAUCUAUUACAAGAUAACGUAAGUGUCUUAAGAUAAGCUCAAUGAGAAUAGAAAUCUCAUAUAGAACAAAGGGUAAAAACUCAUUUGUUUUAAAUUUCCAAUAUCAAUAUAAACCAUGAAAGCAUGGCCUAUCGAUCUUUUAGACCUUCAGAAUUGAAGCUAGAGGUGUCAAAAAAGUUACCACAAAGAUAAUUAGCUUGUAGUAGCCAAGCAUUCAUAACAACAUUGCUUUUUCAUCCUUUGAUAUCAGCUUUGCCUAUCAUUAUGAAAUAGAAUUCACUAAGUGUUGGAUUGUUCACCCACUAAUUAGGAAUGUGAGAUGGGUUUAGACCAUCAUGAGAUAGGUUAGUUUUACCCUAUUAAUAGUAGUAUCAUAAUAGUACUUCCACUUAGUAUGAAAAGAACUGUUGAUUUUUACAAUUGGCCAUCGUGCCUGGUUGAAAAGUUAAUGGCAUAAAGCUAUCGUACAUUGGAUCAUGACUAAACACCUCUAAGUUAGAAUCUAGGCUAGAAGUGUGCCUAUCUCCCAAUUGCUGACCCAUAGUAGAGGCCCAUGGUCCCUAAAGGCAUGUGUCAUAGAUGCAACCCCCAAGGCGGACAAGCCUUGAAGGCCUCCUUAGAGCCCAAUCCCACAAAGUGAUGGGU